UGAUAUGGCCCAAUUGUGAUCGGAGUCAC
Molecule: non-coding RNA, 29 nt
Filed under: Mus musculus (house mouse)
Lineage: Eukaryota; Metazoa; Chordata; Mammalia; Rodentia; Muridae
Source: RNAcentral